UGGGGAAUAUUGCACAAUGGGGGAAACCCUGAUGCAGCGACGCCGCGUGAACGAAGAAGGUAUUCGUAUCGUAAAGUUCUGUCCUAUGGGAAGAUAAUGACAGUACCAUAGAAGAAAGCUCCGGCUAAAUACGUGCCAGCAGCCGCGGUAAUACGUAUGGAGCGAGCGUUGUCCGGAAUUAUUGGGCGUAAAGGGUACGCAGGCGGUUUAAUAAGUCGAAUGUUAAAGAUCGGGGCUCAACCCCGCAAAGCAUUGGAAACUGAUAAACUUGAGUAGUGGAGAGGAAAGUGGAAUUCCUAGGGUAGUGGUGAAAUACGUAGAUAUUAGGAGGAAUAACAGUAGCGAAGGCGACUUUCUGGACACAAACUGACGCUGAGGUACGAAAGCGGGGGGAGCAAACAGG
Molecule: ribosomal RNA, 403 nt
Filed under: bacterium
Lineage: Bacteria
Description: partial 16S ribosomal RNA
Rfam family: Bacterial small subunit ribosomal RNA
Source: RNAcentral